UUUAUUAAAUAUAAGAAAUCUUUUUUUACUAAACAUUUGUUUAUGGCUUAUCAAUUUAAUAAGGGAGCAUUACUCUCUCUAUAAAUUACUGCAUCCAAGAAUGAGUUACUUGAGCAAGUUCUUUAUUUUGCUUCAUGUCUUUUGCUAAACUCAUUCCAUUCAAUGUCUUCUUGCCUAUCGCAUUUUGUAUGUUCUGGAUGAAGAAGAUAGGUGCAAUAGAGUGUUUGGGUGUUUGUUUUCCAUAUAAGAAUGAAGCAUGUUGCUUUUCUGGAUGUAUUUGUGUCCCCCUUACACCAGCAUUAGGCUAUUGCAAAUAUUCAAUUGGACCUCAGUAGUAACUUAUGUUAGUCUCAUGAUAAUUGAAAAAAAAAUAGAAACUGGGAAUUUUUGUGUUCAUUGUAGUAAUUUUAAUAUGAAAUAUGGAUUCUGUUUAUGCUUCUAGCUUUGCAUUAAAAGAUAUAUUUUAAAAUAUUUCCUCUAAUUCGGAAUCCGUAAGAAUCAUUUUGAAGAAUUCUAAUACCAAAGUUUUAAAUUACGCCUGUGGUUGCAGAAGUGAUUUCGGUUGUGCUCGUUGCAUUCGUCGUCAUUGUGGAUAUUACGAUGCAAAUUGUUGUUGUUACUGCAUGAAAGUUGUGAGAAAUUAUUGAAAUAUGCAAUUGGAAGAUCAUAAAAAUUAA
Lathyrus oleraceus (garden pea) is the source of this 677-nucleotide long non-coding RNA. RefSeq lists it as uncharacterized. The record is from RefSeq and is a predicted model, not a curated record. Lineage: Eukaryota; Viridiplantae; Streptophyta; Magnoliopsida; Fabales; Fabaceae. The transcript has 2 exons.